UGAGUUUGAUCAUGGCUCAGGACGAACGCGGCGGCGUGCUUAACACAUGCAAGUCGAACGAUGAAGCCCAGCUUGCUGGGUGGAUUAGUGGCGAACGGGUGAGUAACACGUGAGUAACCUGCCCUUCACUUGGGAUAAUCCGGGAAACCGGUGCUAAUACGGAUAUGACUACUUCCCGCAUGGGAUGGUGGUGGAAAGUUUUUUGGUGGGGGAUGGACUCGCGGCCUAUCAGCUUGUUGGUGGGGUAAUGGCCUACCAAGGCGACGACGGGUAGCCGGCCUGAGAGGGCGACCGGCCACACUGGGAUAUGAGACACGGCCCAGACUCCUACGGGAGGCAGCAGUGGGGAAUAUUGCACAAUGGGCGAAAGCCUGAUGCAGCGACGCCGCGUGAGGGAUGACGGCCUUCGGGUUGUAAACCUCUUUCAGUAGGGACGAAGC
RNAcentral lists this ribosomal RNA (440 nucleotides) under uncultured bacterium. RNAcentral's name for it is "bacterial SSU rRNA". It matches the Rfam family "Bacterial small subunit ribosomal RNA", at positions 1 to 451 of the family's 1533-position model. The record is from RNAcentral.